This 2482-nucleotide unclassified non-coding RNA is filed under the name Pectinophora gossypiella (pink bollworm). RNAcentral's name for it is "uncharacterized LOC126372323". The record is from RNAcentral. Lineage: Eukaryota; Metazoa; Arthropoda; Insecta; Lepidoptera; Gelechiidae.
AUGAUGCCAACUGUCAGUGCUAUUGUCAAAUUCCGUGUCUAGAACGAAAUUGAAAACAUUGGAUGCCUCAAAAGUUUGUUUAGUUAUACCCAAGUUUAAACGAACAUCAGGUUUAUAAACAAGGGCUUCAUAGUUUGAGGUGUAAAGAGGGAAACAUAUUGAGUUAUGAAUUGGCGUAUCAAUUGACAGUAAUUUUUGAUAACUAUUAAUUAAACAAGGAGUGCAUUUAUGAGUCCAGUAACUUGAGGAGUUGACUUCUUCAGAGAGGAUUUUUAGCUUGGUUAAAAGUGGGUGGUCACCUAGUUGUAAACAACGGUAUAAAUAACUAUCUGAAAGAAACUGCCGCCUCAGUUGUAAAGGGGGUUCAACACACUCUACUUGCAUUGCAUUAAUAGGGCUAGUCUUCAUUGCGCCCAGAACAAUCCUUAAAGCUACCGAUUGUAUUUUAUCUAGUUUAUUUAAAGCAGCAGCACUACAUGGUUCCAGCAAAAAAGAUCCAUAAUCAAUCACACUCCUGAUUAGUGCAUUAUAAAUGAUUCUCAGAGAAGUAGGAUGAGCGCCCCACCAUACACCUCUGAGGCAUUUAAUAAUAUUAAGAUUCCGUUCACAUUUAGCCUCAAUAUAAUUGCAAUGUGGGAUACCAGGGGAGAUCUCAUACGAGAAAAAAGCACUACAUUGCUUUUGGAAACGGAUAAUUCUAAGCCAUUAUCAUUCAUCCAACCCUUCAAUAUACCAAGAGAUGUUGUUUUUUAUCAGCAGCACUUCUACAAUUCCACUGUAGGAGUACCUGAUCCAUUAUUGGGAUUGAUAGACACAGUGUUUUCAAUUAGUUGGGCAACGUGGGACGGUAUAGAAUUGGUGGGAAUUAAACUGGAUUUAAACAAAAGCUCAAUAAGAGACAAAAUUAAUUUCGCUAUGGGUUGGUUUGAUUUAUCAUUUUCUGAGUUAUCAUUUUUCAGAGCAGAACCAUUUGGUGAAGAUAGAGGUAUAUCAUAAUCUUUUAUUAGAGAUGCAUGUGCAGCCCGGUCAUACCCAGCCGAAGGCGUAGGAGGAGCACGAGGCUUAAGGAAAACUGUUUUUUUAUAUGAGCUGGAAGAUGGGGACAAUCGAGCUGCUGGGUUAGCAGCCUCAUCUUGAGAUUGUUUAUGUUGCGAAGUUCUAAGAACGUCAGCAAAAGAUUUGGAGACAACGGGGUGUAAUUUGGAAGCCUCUAAAUAUGAGAUGCAGUUUUGAGCCAUUGACACUUUGAUAUUUUUUUGUCGGGAAAAUUCAGGACAAGCCUUACUAGUGGCAAAAUGAUAACCAGAACAAAGACAGCAUGAUCCAUCCUCUUGUUCUACUGAACAAGAUUCGGCAGUGUGACCUUGCCCACAUUUAUAACAGCGAGGCUUGGAGCGGCAUUGAGCCUUUGUAUGACCAAAACGGCAGCAGCUGUAACAUUGAAUGGUUGGAUAAAUGUACAAGUCGACAGUCAAUGGAGUAUAGCACAUAAACACACGUUUUGGUAGUACUUGUCCAUCGAAAGUUAAAACAACUGUUUCAGUGUUAGUAAAUUCUGGAGACCCAUUUAUAAUUUUUUUACUUUUAAUUCUCCUAGCUUUAAGAACUUUCCCACAACCAAUGGGGACACUCACAUUAUCCAAAAUCUCAUCCUCAGGCCAGUCAGCAGGGACACCCCUGACAACACCCAUCCGUGUGAUAAUAAAGGUUGGAAUGAAAGCUCUCAAACUAUGGCUGGCAAGGCAAGGAUUUUCAAUAAAAGCGUUAGCAUCAGAAUAUGUGGAAAAGGCCAUGGAUAGUCUAUUUCUGCCGAUCCGUUUCAAGCUACCGUUCACUAUGUUUUUAAUCAUAUUUUUCUUUAGAACGCUACCAAACUGAAUGGGAUGCAGUGAAACAGGAUCGUCAGGAGUAGACUGCUCCUUUUGAAUGUGCACCACAUAGGGUGCUAGGUCGGAAGAAACAUAUUUCCUACCAACUUGCUGUUGCUGCUGGGUUUGCUGAUUAGUUACUGUGACUGUUGGUGGUGGAGGUGGAGGAUCAGGUAUUGUUGAUAAAAGAGAAUUGUCUUCGUCAGAAUUGCAAUUGCACUUGUCUACACCCGAAACGUUUUUACCAUUUUUACUUUUGCGCUUUUUGUUGCAAUGUUUGCAAAUCUUUCUCAAGGGUCUUACACGUUUUCUGACUUGAGAGGAGCACCCGUCCUCCGUAUCCAUUGACGAAGUAUCGUCAACAAUAACUUCCAUCCCUACAUGAGGGACACGAUGACGAUCCCGGUCGCCACCGGGGUCGUCGGGGGGAUCAACCCCCAUAGUAAAAAGAAAAACUCACUUACCACUACACAGCAGCAAGUAUUUUAGAAGAAUAUAUAUAAAUAUGAAUUAACAGAUAAAAUAAUACAGAAAUACUCCACUGAACCCACACGAAAUCAAUUAAAUUAAAUUUUCACUAAAAAACACGACCGCCAAUUUCGGAAGUUUCCCGC